This 460-nucleotide ribosomal RNA is filed under the name uncultured bacterium. Its description in RNAcentral is "partial 16S ribosomal RNA". It matches the Rfam family "Bacterial small subunit ribosomal RNA", at positions 338 to 795 of the family's 1533-position model. The record is from RNAcentral.
CCUACGGGAGGCAGCAGUGAGGAAUAUUGGUCAAUGGACGAGAGUCUGAACCAGCCAAGUAGCGUGAAGGAUGACUGCCCUAUGGGUUGUAAACUUCUUUUAUAUGGGAAUAAAAUGUUCCACGUGUGGGAUUUUGUAUGUACCAUAUGAAUAAGGAUCGGCUAACUCCGUGCCAGCAGCCGCGGUAAUACGGAGGAUCCGAGCGUUAUCCGGAUUUAUUGGGUUUAAAGGGAGCGUAGGUGGAUUGUUAAGUCAGUUGUGAAAGUUUGCGGCUCAACCGUAGAAUUGCAGUUGAAACUGGCAGUCUUGAGUACAGUAGAGGUGGGCGGAAUUCGUGGUGUAGCGGUGAAAUGCUUAGAUAUCACGAAGAACUCCGAUUGCGAAGGCAGUUCACUGGACUGCAACUGACACUGAGGCUCGAAAGUGUGGGUAUCAAACAGGAUUAGAUACCCGUGUAGUC